GCAGAAAUUGAUAGUUCAGCAAACUCAAAUCCUCAACAAACAUUGCUCCCAAAAGCGUCUUAUAAGUUGCUCCAGGAUUUCAUAGCUCUCAAAGUUCCUGUGCAUUUUCUCUGUUGUUCUUCGGUUUUGCGGAUUGUCUCUACGUUAUUAGGGAAAUGCAGAUGGCGGGUGUAAAGCCUAAUGAAAUUAUGGUUGUCUAUAGCUUUAUCUGCUUUUGCGCAGUUGGGAGCAUUAGAGGCUCGGUAAAUGGGUUCAUUUGUACGUGGAGAAGAACAACAUUGAUGUUAAUCAUAUAGGUGGUUCAGCUUUGGUGAAUAUGUAUUUGAGAUUAUGCCAUAAACAGAUUAUGCUCAUACAAAUUAUGCCAUAAACUUCAACAAGAAGUGCAACGUAAACAUUACAAAUUUCAACAAGAAGGAAUGCCUGAAUCAUUCAACAUACUCAGAAUUUCUCCUUCUUGCAUAAAGUCAACAUUGUAAUACUCUGUUGUUUCCGCUCAGUUACAGACAAACUUUCUGGUUAAUCUUUAAAUUUAAGUAUUUCGUUG
This is a long non-coding RNA of Solanum pennellii, 547 nucleotides long. RefSeq lists it as uncharacterized. NCBI's taxonomy places the organism in Eukaryota, Viridiplantae, Streptophyta, Magnoliopsida, Solanales, Solanaceae. The transcript is spliced from 4 exons. The record is from RefSeq and is a predicted model, not a curated record.